RNAcentral lists this long non-coding RNA (2153 nucleotides) under Salmo salar (Atlantic salmon). RNAcentral describes it as "lncRNA (ENSSSAG00000105910.1)". The record is from RNAcentral. Lineage: Eukaryota; Metazoa; Chordata; Actinopteri; Salmoniformes; Salmonidae.
GUCAUAUUUCACAACAGUACAUGUGUCGGCCUACUGUACUGAAGCGGCUAAUUUUUUUUGUAUUUCAACACAGCGCAAUUCAAGAUCCCAUUCUCCAAUAAAAAUGCACGCGCCUGUUUCGACAAUGACCAAUCAGGUUGAUGGGUAAUGAAGACACGCCCGCGCGCUAUGUUCUUGCGGCAGUAUUUUGUCAUACAUUCGCGGGAGAAGAGCUUUGCAAAGUUUUGUCAGCAACUAUUACAUUUUAUGGCAUUUAUUUGAGGUACUUGGCAGGCGAUAGCUGCGCGUUAUUAGUACAACCUUUACAGUUUGUUGACUGCACACUACUAGACAGCUUCCUAGCUAGCUAGACAGCUAACAACAUAACUGGCAAACUUUUUGCAAGAGGUCUGUCGUUUUGAUCCAAAGUAUCUAAUAUGGCAACCAUGUGUCACUCAAGACGUGCCCUGAUGGAAAUCCCAGCUCCACAGCCGAAAAUUGCAGCUCGACUGAGAAGGUCCUACCUGGAGGUUCUAAGUUCACGCAUAACUCCAUUCUCAACCACCUCUAGAGGCAGAAACCUGACCAGCAACUCAAAACGUGGGCAUUCAUUGGACCCAGCCAUAUACAGAACAGGGAGUAGUCGGAGUGAGGCCCAAAGUGAGAGAAUGGAAGACAACCAGACACCCCUGUCCAACCAGCAGCUUGUGCAGCUCAUAAGAUCUUUCAUCCUAGUAGAACAGGGGCAGAGGCAGGAGCCCAGAGCUCUCACUACGGACCUGAAACCGAUACAGGAGGACUUGCACCUGAAGAAGACCAAUGUCUAUAGAUCUAUACCCUACUCACGCCUGGGGUCCAACAGAGACGCACACUGUUACAGAAAGGCAUAUCCACACCUGGUGGUGUUUAAAGUUUCCUGCCAGGAGUGGGGUCAGCUGCUGCUGCAGAACGAGGAGUGGGAGUCUACUCUGGAGCACGCCCUAGUGGCGUGGAGGUACACCAGCGAGCUGCCACAGUGGGACACCAGCAGCCACAACUCGGUGAGGGAACAGUGUUACAUCAUGCUGGCAGCACACUGCAUCACAGCUCUACAGCACUAUUGCCCAGACCCCAGCAAAGCCAUAGAGCUGCACAGGAGGUUUAAAAUGGCACAGCUGCACAGUCAGUUGAUCUAUCCUUGUAUUCAGGAGCUGGAGAGAAGCCUCAGCGAAGCACAGGUUUGUUCCAUGAACACCCGCUGAAAUGCCCAACCUGCUGAAAUGGCCAACACUAAGAUCAGCUGACAACAAUCAGCACGGCUUCCAAGUCUAUGGGGUUGCACUAUUGAACAGCGUAUAUCAGUGGUUGCCAUUCAACUAUGUUUGGUAUCCUUGCCUUGUGUUGCGCUAUUCCCCCUUGCCUUGCCUACAGUAUUCCCCCCUUGCCUUGCCUACAGUAUUCCCCCUUGCCUUGCCUACAGUAUUCCCCCUUGCCUUGCCUACAGUAUUCCCCCUUGCCUUGCCUACAGUAUUCCCCUUGCCUUGCCUACAGUAUUCCCCCUUGCCUUGCCUACAGUAUUCCCCCUUGCCUUGCCUACAGUAUUCCCCCUUGCCUUGCCUACAGUAUUCCCCCUUGCCUUGCCUACAGUAUUCCCCCUUGCCUUGCCUACAGUAUUCCGCCUUGCCUUGCCUACAGUAUUCCCCUUGCCUUGCCUACAGUAUUCCGCCUUGCCUACAGUAUUCCCCUUGCCUACAGUAUUCCGCCUUGCCUUGUCUAAAGUAUUCCCUCAGAGUAAAUACAAGAGAAAGCUUUGAUGAAUUUUGGUAAGCUGUUUUUUAAAUAUGAAUUUAAGCUUUUUGUAUUAAGUUGUUUUGUAAAAUGUGUUUAUUGCCAUUGAACUAUUGAAUGUUAUCAUAAGGAAAUUAUGAAAUGGCCUUUAAAAUGUGAAAUGCUGUCAUAGGGAAAUGAACUGUCCUUUUCACCUAGAUGUUUUAUAUGUGGGGGAUGUUUUUGUAGAUGUGUUGAAAAAUGCCACGAUACAUGAAACAGCUGCCUUAUUUCAACUUGGCUGAAUGCUACCUGUUUUGUAAAUAUUUGUCUAAAAUAACUGUUUUGCACUUAUGUUCUUCAUCCUGGAAACUUGACAUUUUGAUAAAAUAGAAUCUAAUUUAAUAAAAUUCUACUUUUUUUCAACA